CAGUGCAAGUGUAGAUGCCGA
Molecule: microRNA, 21 nt
Filed under: Homo sapiens (human)
Lineage: Eukaryota; Metazoa; Chordata; Mammalia; Primates; Hominidae
Description: hsa-miR-3666
Source: miRBase by way of RNAcentral